RNAcentral lists this unclassified non-coding RNA (277 nucleotides) under uncultured fungus. Its description in RNAcentral is "partial contains small subunit ribosomal RNA, internal transcribed spacer 1, and 5.8S ribosomal RNA". The stretch from base 1 to 73 matches the Rfam family "Eukaryotic small subunit ribosomal RNA", at positions 1759 to 1831 of the family's 1831-position model. Lineage: Eukaryota; Fungi. The record is from RNAcentral.
GCAAACUUGGUCAUUUAGAGGAAGUAAAAGUCGUAACAAGGUUUCCGUAGGUGAACCUGCGGAAGGAUCAUUAAAAAAUUUCGAUUCCAUAUCCAUCUUUUGUGCAUUUAUUGAAAAGUAAUAAACUUUUGGGAGAGAUUUUUUAUAUUUCUCCCAAAGUUUUUUCUUUAAAUACUUUUUUUUUAAAUAUAAUUGUCUAAAGAAAUUUUUAUAAAUUUUAAAUAAAACAACUUUCAACAACGGAUCUCUUGGCUCUCGCAUCGAUGAAGAACGCAGC